CGCCUGUUUACCAAAAACAUAGCCAUUAGUUGAUAUUAUUGGUUAAACCUGCCCAAUGUUGAACAAUGAAUGGCCGCGGUACCCUGACCGUGCUAAGGUAGCGUAAUCAGUUGGCUUUUAAAUGGAGUCAGGUAUGAAUGGUAAAACUGGGUUGAGCUGUCUCCUCUCUAAUUGGUUGAAUUUACUGUGUAGGUGAAAAAGCCUAUAAUACAAAAAAGGACGAGAAGACCCUUAGAAUUUUUUUUAAAGGGGGUUGUUCUCUUUAUGAUUUUGUUGGGGCGACAGAGAAGUAGUUAAAACCUUCUUUAAAUUUAUAAGCCGAAAUUUUUAAGUUAAGAUAAAUUACCUGAGGGAUAACAGCAUUAUUUUAUAGUUAAGUUUGUGACCUCGAUGUUGGACUAGGAAACUAGCAGGCUAGCCGUUUGCUGUGUGGGUUCUGUUCGAACUCUAAUUUCU
RNAcentral lists this ribosomal RNA (456 nucleotides) under Noumeaella isa. Its description in RNAcentral is "partial 16S ribosomal RNA". It matches the Rfam family "Archaeal large subunit ribosomal RNA", at positions 1889 to 2665 of the family's 2987-position model. Lineage: Eukaryota; Metazoa; Mollusca; Gastropoda; Nudibranchia; Facelinidae. The record is from RNAcentral.